Molecule: RNA transcript, 1053 nt
Organism: Pongo pygmaeus (Bornean orangutan)
Lineage: Eukaryota; Metazoa; Chordata; Mammalia; Primates; Hominidae
Exons: 3
Source: RefSeq, a predicted model, not a curated record
GCGACCUCUAGCCACUUCCGGUUGCUAACGGUUCCCAAUCAGCCCCCGAAAACGCUACGUGAGCUGGGCCCUGGGCCAGAGGCAGAAAACGGACGGAAGAAAAGGUCUGGCCGGAGAUGGGUCUCACUCUGUCACCCAGACUGGAGUGCAGUGAGUGGUGCGAUCAUAGCUCACUGCAGCCUGAAACUCCUGGGCUCAAGUGAUCCUCUCGCCUCAGCCUCCUGCGUAGCUGGAACUACAGGCCUCUGACAAUAUGAUACUAAGCCAUCAUAGCCCCUGUGACCGCCACAUACACAUCCAGAUGACCUGGAGCAACUGAAGAACCACAAAAGAUGGCAUUCCAUCAUUGAGAUUUGUUCCUGCCUCACCCCAACUAAUCAGUCGACCUUGUGACAUUCCCCCUGCCCCCGACAGUGAGUCUCAUGAUUUCCCUACCCUGCACCUUGUGACCCCCGCCCCUGCCCACAAGAGAUAACCACCUUUAACUGUAAUUUUCCACUAUCUACCCAAAUCCUAUAAAACUGCCCCACCCCUAUCUCCCUUUGCUGACUCUCUUUUUGGACUCAGCCCACUUGCACCCAAGUGAAAUAAACAGCCUUGUUGCUCACACAAAGCCUGUUGGUGCACUCUCUUCACACAGACUCACGUGACAUUUAUAGAACACAAAAUUAAGAAUAAUGAAUAUGAAAAGGUUCACUAAUAAGAAUUUAAACAAAACAAAGAUUUUUAAGAUUGCUAAAGACAAAUGAUUUAUACUAUUCAGUGUUAGGAGGUGUGUGGAUAUACAGGCAUACUUAGUUGUACAUUUUUAGAAGGUUAAACUUAUUUAGAAGGUAAGAAGUUGUCCAUACCCCUUGAUACAACAACUUAGCUUCUUGGAAUUAUCCAUAUAGAAAUGCUUACAUAAAUGUUUGAACAUAUGUACAAAGAAGCACUGUUUAUUUAAAUUUGGAAACUCGAAUGCCUAACAUUUGGAAUUUAAAUUUCUAUAUGUCUAUUCAUUAAAAUACCACCCAGUUUUUAGAAACUAAGAGAUGCUAAAGGUAUAUUGAG